Molecule: long non-coding RNA, 362 nt
Organism: Quercus lobata
Lineage: Eukaryota; Viridiplantae; Streptophyta; Magnoliopsida; Fagales; Fagaceae
Exons: 2
Source: RefSeq, a predicted model, not a curated record
AGGGUUUCGGAAAAAAAUUACGGCAGGAGCAUCCAGAUUUUUGCUACGCUUUUUUGAAUUUGUUAUAUUUCUGUUGUCAGUGGAUUUGCAGAAUGGAUAAUAAGAAAUUGCUACAAGUUAGAAGUUGCCCUGUUGAGAACUUAAGAAUGAAUGAUCCAGAAAUGCAUAUGCUUUUGAUUGUCUCUUUUUCAAAUAUAGAUGUGAACAAGACACAUUGUAGUGGAUUUUUUUUUUAAAUGAUUUUUUUCCUUUAAAAAUGGAUUUCUUUGUAGUUUGUAUGCUUCUUUUAGAUACUUUACAACAAGAGACCGGCCUGUAGUUCAUGAAAGUGAGUAAUAUAUCAACUUAAAUUAUAAAUAUUA